Molecule: non-coding RNA, 415 nt
Organism: Biomphalaria pfeifferi
Lineage: Eukaryota; Metazoa; Mollusca; Gastropoda; Planorbidae
Source: the annotation of a GenBank genome assembly
GACUUACAUAGAUCUAGAUCUAAUCGAUGACACUUAGUAAUAAGUAAUAUUGCUGACCAAAAUAGACUUACAUAGAUCUAGAUCUAAUCGAUGAUACUUAGUAAUAAGUAAUAUUGCUGACCAAAAUAGACUUACAUAGAUCUAGAUCUAAGCGAUGAUAUAAUUCAUUGAGUUCAUUAAAAUAUUAGGCUUUUAGUUUAUUUUGCCAACACUUGUAUUGGUUCUACUGUAUAUUUAUCACAUACAAGUUUUAAAAGUUUAUAAUAUACUGAGUGAAGCAUAAAGUUGGACAAUGAUAGUAUUAAACUUUUCUUUACUCUACGAUGUGUACUUUUAUUAAUAAAUGCUCCCUAAGUCUAAAACUUGUAUCAAUAAAUGCUCCCUAAGUCUAAAACUUGUAUUAAUAAAUGCUCCU